GACCAACGCUGGCGGCGUGCUUAACACAUGCAAGUCGAACGGAAAGGCCCUGCUUUUGUGGGGUGCUCGAGUGGCGAACGGGUGAGUAACACGUGAGUAACCUGCCCUUGACUUUGGGAUAACUUCAGGAAACUGGGGCUAAUACCGGAUAGGAGCUCCUGCUGCAUGGUGGGGGUUGGAAAGUUUCGGCGGUUGGGGAUGGACUCGCGGCUUAUCAGCUUGUUGGUGGGGUAGUGGCUUACCAAGGCUUUGACGGGUAGCCGGCCUGAGAGGGUGACCGGCCACAUUGGGACUGAGAUACGGCCCAGACUCCUACGGGAGGCAGCAGGGGGGAAUAUUGCACAAUGGGCGGAAGCCUGAUGCAGCAACGCCGCGUGCGGGAUGACGGCCUUCGGGUUGUAAACCGCUUUCGCCUGUGACGAAGCGUGAGUGACGGUAAUGGUUAAAGAAGCACCGGCUAACUACGUG
This 468-nucleotide ribosomal RNA is filed under the name uncultured bacterium. RNAcentral describes it as "partial 16S ribosomal RNA". It matches the Rfam family "Bacterial small subunit ribosomal RNA", at positions 28 to 507 of the family's 1533-position model. The record is from RNAcentral.